This 1339-nucleotide long non-coding RNA is filed under the name Coffea arabica (coffee). Its description in RNAcentral is "long non-coding RNA (CARA_LNC007140)". Lineage: Eukaryota; Viridiplantae; Streptophyta; Magnoliopsida; Gentianales; Rubiaceae. The record is from RNAcentral.
CUUGGAGCUUGCUGAAUGGCUAUGGAUGAACUUGUUGUUGUGUGUGUACCUUUGGGACUGGCUGAGGAAAUAAUGAAGCCAUGAUGGCUGGAAAAGUUAGCAAAUAUAGGGGAAGUGCUGUCCGAACUUUUAAAGGAUUUGUUUGCAUUGAGUUUGUGAUCUAAGACUUGGGUUUGAGCAAGGCAAUGAUACAUGAUGGAUGAUUUCUGAGCCAUUGAGGUGAGUGACCUCAAACUAUUUCUGAAGUUCUUUAUGAACCGUUUCCUGCAUUAUUUACUUUUAAACUGUUUCCAAAAGUUACUUUUGAACUGUUUUCUUGCAUAUCAUGCGUACUUGCAUAUGAGUUUCCCUUGGUUGCUGUAAUUCUUGACUUAUUGGCUUGUCAUUAUUAAUUGAAAAUGUGUUAAGUACUUUCGAUGAUUGUUAAAACGAGUUUUCUAGGCGAGUGUGUACUUUAUCGCACUCGACCUAAAUAAAUAUGAAUUGUCAAUGAUUAAUGAUUAAAUGCUAGUUGCGCAUGAUAUAAGCCUUUUGGCUGAACUGGCCACUGCCCUUCGUUACCGAUCGACUCGAGCCAGAAGCGGACUCGGUCGGGCGAUAUGGUGACCCUGGGUGAAUUUGGUAUACUCGAGUAUUACCUUGUAGUCCGGCUGCGUCCGGAUGGGUGGAGUCCGGCCAACGUCGGAUGGGUGGAGUCCGGUCAACGUCCGGAAAAGGGGAUGAACGAAUAAAAAGAUGAACGAGGGUUUAUUUAUAAAAAUGAAAUUUUCAAAUAAUUGGAGGAAUAAGGGGAAAUGUCAGGGGAACGAACAAAUGAAUAGCUCCAUGUGAGCGGUAUCCUUUUAAUGAAUAUGUUACUAUCGCUUUCCAUUGUAAAUGUUUCUUGAAUUAUUGAUUAUUGAUUAUUGAUGGUUAAUGUGUUGGCUUUGUUAUGAAAUUUCAUGUUCGGAACCUUAUUGAGAUUUUAGCUCAUUGAGCUUUGUGAAAUUACCAUGUGGUGUCAUUUUCUGCUUUUGUUUUACUCUCACUGUGCAAAUGUUGACCUGUAACAAAAUUACAUUUUUACCCCCGGUUACUUAUUGAACUUCUAAAACAUUACAAUGAUUUCACUGGCUCACGAGAGCAAAAAUACGUACAUCUGAUUUCUGAACCAUGACAUAAAUGAAAUGAAUUUUUGUGAAAACUAUUUGAUUACUGAUUUUACUGGUUACUCACUGGGCUUUUAGCUCACCCCAAAAAUGUUUUAUUUCCCCCCCCACAGGGCUCAAGGCGAAGGAAGGGCUUGUUGUGCUUAUUCACGUGAUUGGAUGGCUUAUAUCGUGUACAGUUUAAGUUUGGA